Molecule: ribosomal RNA, 361 nt
Filed under: Macrocoeloma trispinosum
Lineage: Eukaryota; Metazoa; Arthropoda; Malacostraca; Decapoda; Majidae
Description: partial small subunit ribosomal RNA
Source: RNAcentral
UAUUAUACUAAGAAGUUUUAUUAAACUUAAAUAUUAUAAGAUAAAUUCUUUAAAUUUAAAGAAUUUGGCGGUAAUUUAGUCUUUUCAGAGGAACCUGUUUUGUAAUCGAUAAACCACGUAGAAUCUUACUUAUUUAUGUUAAAUUUAUAAGCUUGUAUACCAUCAUUAUCAGAUAAUAUUUAAAGAUAAUUAUUAAAUUUUAAAUAGUAAAAUAAAUUAGAUCAAGGUGCAGCCUAUAAAUAAGUUAAAAUGGGUUACAAUUAAGUUAUAUAAUAUGAAAUAGGAUUUGAAAAAAUUUUAGGAAGGAGGAUUUGAUUGUAAUGGUAAUUAGUAUGAUAAAAAGAUAUAAGCUCUAAAUUAU